UGGAUAGUGGCGAACGGGUGAGUAACACGUGAGUAACCUGCCCUUAACUCUGGGAUAAGCCUGGGAAACUGGGUCUAAUACCGGAUAGGAGCGUCCACCGCAUGGUGGGUGUUGGAAAGAUUUAUCGGUUUUGGAUGGACUCGCGGCCUAUCAGCUUGUUGGUGAGGUAAUGGCUCACCAAGGCGACGACGGGUAGCCGGCCUGAGAGGGUGACCGGCCACACUGGGACUGAGACACGGCCCAGACUCCUACGGGAGGCAGCAGUGGGGAAUAUUGCACAAUGGGCGAAAGCCUGAUGCAGCGACGCCGCGUGAGGGAUGACGGCCUUCGGGUUGUAAACCUCUUUCAGUAGGGAAGAAGCGAAAGUGACGGUACCUGCAGAAGAAGCACCGGCUAACUACGUGCCAGCAGCCGCGGUAAUACGUAGGGUGCGAGCGUUAUCCGGAAUUAUUGGGCGUAAAGAGCUCGUAGGCGGUUUGUCGCGUCUGUCGUGAAAGUCCGGGGCUUAACCCCGGAUCUGCGGUGGGUACGGGCAGACUAGAGUGCAGUAGGGGAGACUGGAAUUCCUGGUGUAGCGGUGGAAUGCGCAGAUAUCACGAGGAACACCGAUGGCGAAGGCAGGUCUCUGGGCUGUAACUGACGCUGAGGAGCGUAAGCAUGGGGAGCGAACAGGAUUAGAUACCCUGGUAGUCCAUGCCGUAACGUUGGCACUAGGUGUGGGGACCAUUCCACGAUUUCGCGCGCAGCUAACGCAUUAAGUGCCCGCUGGGGAGUACGNGCAGCUAAACUCA
Molecule: ribosomal RNA, 791 nt
Filed under: Micrococcus sp. AmSamHH66
Lineage: Bacteria; Bacillati; Actinomycetota; Actinomycetes; Micrococcales; Micrococcaceae
Description: bacterial SSU rRNA
Rfam family: Bacterial small subunit ribosomal RNA
Source: RNAcentral